This 253-nucleotide ribosomal RNA is filed under the name uncultured bacterium. Its description in RNAcentral is "partial 16S ribosomal RNA". It matches the Rfam family "Bacterial small subunit ribosomal RNA", at positions 524 to 776 of the family's 1533-position model. The record is from RNAcentral.
UACGUAGGCAGCGAGCGUUGUUCGGAGUUACUGGGCGUAAAGAGUGCGUAGGCGGUGUUCCAAGUCUGUUGUGAAAUCUCCCGGCUUAACUGGGAGGGUGCGGCGGAAACUGGGACGCUGGAGUACGGGAGAGGUAAGCGGAAUUCCUGGUGUAGCGGUGAAAUGCGUAGAUAUCAGGAGGAACACCUGCGGUGUAGACGGCUUACUGGACCGUAACUGACGCUGAGGCACGAAAGCGUGGGUAGCAAACAGG